This 22-nucleotide microRNA is filed under the name Citrus sinensis (sweet orange). Its description in RNAcentral is "csi-miR398a-5p". Its record names the gene csi-miR398a-5p. The record is from miRBase by way of RNAcentral. Lineage: Eukaryota; Viridiplantae; Streptophyta; Magnoliopsida; Sapindales; Rutaceae.
AGAACAGAGGGUGGCGUUGGCU